Long non-coding RNA from Hirundo rustica (Barn swallow), 3114 nucleotides. RefSeq lists it as uncharacterized. Lineage: Eukaryota; Metazoa; Chordata; Aves; Passeriformes; Hirundinidae. The record is from RefSeq and is a predicted model, not a curated record. The transcript has 3 exons.
GGUGGGAAAUUUCACUGUGAUGAUGGAGGGGGGGGGGUGGUAUAUGUUGUGCACAUGAUAUUUGGUUCUGUAGGCUCUUUGUCCUAUAGGGAAACCUCAAGGUACUUCUGAAGAAACAAUGAUCAAAUGUGAUGUGGUUGGAGUAUUUAGCCCUGGGUGACUGACAGCUGCAAGAAGUACCCCUAUGAUCUGCCAAGGUGGACAUUAGCAGAGGAAGCCAGUGAUGGGCAGAGACAUACCAGAUUUGAGCAAUGCACUCAAAUGCCUUGAGAAGAGCUUCAUCAAAUGUGGUACAGAGACAGCCUCCAUAGCAGAAUCCCCAAAUCGUUAAGGUUGGAAAGGACCUGUGAGAUCAUGGAGUCCUACCAUUAACCCAUCACCACUGUGUCCACCACUAAGCCGUGUCUCCAAGUAUCAUAUCCCAUGUUUUUUGAAGACUUCCAGGGAUGGUGACUCCACCACUUUUCUGGGCAGCUCAUUCCAGUGCUUGACCAUCCUUUCAGUGAGAAAUGUUUCCUAACAUCCCAUCUAAACCUCUUCCUGGUGCAACUUAAGGCCAUUUCCUCUUGUCCUUUCAUUUGUUAACUGAGAGAAGACACUACAUGCAUUUCACAAUUCAAAAUUAAGUCAAGACUUGCAGGUUUUCUGCCUCCUGCCACCACCCUGCAGCUGUUAUCCAGGCUCACUGCCCUCGCAUCCCAUUCCCAUGUUGCCAGCAGUUUGCUCAGCUCGGCACACCUGCAGCAGCUCACACAAUGCAGGGGUCAGUGACCAGCAACACAUUGAUUAAAUAGUUAAGCACACUGCAAACCCAGUAUGUGUAUAACAGUAAUACUUCCCAGGCAGAAAAACUCUCUAGGAAAGGUUCUCCAAGUCAUUAUUUCACUCAGCUGAUAAGGAAGAUGAGUUGCCAGUACUGAGCUCCUGCAGCCGAGCUCCCGAGGCUCACCAAGGUGCAAGACAGAUUUUAGGGUGCUGUGAAGUGCUUAGGAAGACCCCUGGGAAACUCAGUUAAUUUGCUGUGUGCUUGUGCUGCUCUGUAGGUCCUGUGUAGGGGAAAUCAAAGCCCAGACUACACAGCACACCCCUGCAAGGCAAAGGCUCCCCCUUUCCACACCUGCAGGCACAAGGAGAGCUAAGCUGGCUCCUGCUGUGUUCCUGGAGUGAUCAUUGCAUCUUCAGACAAGACCUGUUUGGGUCUUGGGAGUUUGGGACAAGGCGAUGUACCAGCUAGCCAGGGAUGCCCCGUGUCCUGGAGGCGUGGGCAGCACUGAGCCUUUGCCACAGCAGUCUGGCCUUGAGGAAGCAGAGGGACCAUUGCUCCUCCUGAAGGGAACUGAGGAGUGGGAAGAAAGGAGGUGAAUGGCAUUCCUGAAACUUGGGAAAAGAAACGUUUUAUCAUGGUUGCCACAGAAACUGGGAAUGGACAAUAAGCACUUAGAUGUUUUAUCAUGUCCCUUAGCACUUGUAGCAUGCAAGCUGUGUGAAAAGAAGCAUUAUCCUGUACAGGGAGGCUGACAGGUACCCGAAUGGGAAAACAAAUGUGAGAGAAUCUGUGCCAGGGCAUCCCAGCAGAAUGCAUCCCAGCAGAGGGGCUACAGAGACAGCAGGGAGAUGGCACUUCCUGAAGUGCUGCCAAAGAAUGGGAAUGAGGAACCCUGGAAAGAUGGACAGUGCAGAGUCAAACAUCUGAGGAGACAGGAGUUAGCAUGGAGAAUCCCAUGGAAUUCCAGGGCACGCACUGCCCUUGGGCUCUCAUUACUGCCAGCCCCACGCUGGCGCCUUUCUGUGAUCCUGUGUGUCCUUAGUCCAACUAGGCAUCUCACUCGCAGCUGUUCUGUCUGUGUGCUUCCUCUCUGCACUCUUUUUUAUUCAACACAUCAUAUAUUCCUUUCAUCACUCAAAUUCAUUUUGGUGCAUUUGACUGGAAAAGGUCAUGUAGAUCCAGCUCAACCCCUAAAUGACAGAUCAUGCCCACACACUAUCAAUACUCCAAAGAGCAAGACAUUUCCCUGGUUACAAUGCAUUCGUAGGCCAAAAAUCACUCUCUGUCCUCAGCACACCAAGCAUCCAGUAUGUUGUGGUCAUGAUUAUUUUGGUCAUUUUGCUUUCCCCAUCUGCCUAAAACAUUAAAUUUCUCCCUCCUGCUCCCACUCACAUUCCUCCUCCAAUAUUUCCUUCAGGAAAUCUUCUUAUGGAUGUGCAAAAAAACUGCAGGCACUUAUCACAUGAAGCACAUCAUGAUGAGAAACACCUACCCUUCUCAUGAAGUACCAACUCCCUCCUAUCCAUCUUCCUGAAGUACAUGCCAGUGAUCAUCUGCAACCGCUCUGCACAAAGCUAAAUAAUUUUUCCUUCAUGCUGAAACCACCAACAAAGAACCUCCUUGGCCAGGGAAAUGGAGUAUACACUGAAUCCAAAUGCCCAGAACAAGAAGAGGAACUAUAAUGCUCAUAUGUGUAGAAGCAAACAGUCCCUCUCCAUUCCAGCACCCAGAUCUUUUUUGCAAUGACACAGCAUCACAGACCUUUCUACUUCCCAUUGCUCUCAGUGAUUAUUUUAUGGUGAUUAGUCAGCCUCUGAAAACCCAUGGAAAAUACCUGGUCCUGCUGGAAAAGACCUGGUAUGUGUGUCUAUCAUUUAAAACCCUUAAAGCCAGCUCCAACUCUUGCACAUUUCCAGGCUUUUUACAUGACAGAGCAGAAAUCUCCCUAUUUCUAACGCCUGUGACAUUUGCCGUAGCCGAUCUCCCAAGCCUGGCUGGUGAGCUCCUGAUCAGCAGUAAGAUGCCAGAGGUAGUGGUGCCACAGUUGCCCACUUGGAUGGGCACAUUUGUGCUCCUCUCUUGUAGCUCUGGGCUCUGCUGACAGAUCUAAUUGGUCUUUGUCAUCCAAAAGCUUUGCCACUGGCAGUGACCAUCCAGUUCUGAACCACUACCUGUUCUCACCAGUUGCUGCUGCCUAAGUGAGCUCCAAAACAAAAAUUUCAUCAAGUAAAACUGCUCCAUGUAACUUCUCCACAAAGUUUUAUCUCAUCUUCUUCCAGUAUCAUUUCCUGCAGUGUAUCACCUCAGUAUCCAGUGUCUUUGGAAACCUCAGAUGUAAAUUCUUCUGC